CCUGAAUCCUCCGGUGCUGCUCGGACCUCUCGCCCCGCUCUCAGCCGCCCGGACACCUUCGACCAACAUUCAGCUGAGUCCACACUGCCGUCCUCCCCGGUCGGGUUUCUUGCACCUCGUGAUCGACCUGGUCCCCGCCGCCCGAGUUCCUGCCCGAGUAUCUUCCAGCCCGCAGAUUAGCUUCGCCGCCUAGCAUUCUCGCCUGUGUAAACAAUAAACCUUUUAAA
Long non-coding RNA from Fundulus heteroclitus (mummichog), 227 nucleotides. RefSeq lists it as uncharacterized. The record is from RefSeq and is a predicted model, not a curated record. The transcript has 2 exons. Lineage: Eukaryota; Metazoa; Chordata; Actinopteri; Cyprinodontiformes; Fundulidae.